CAGCAGUGAGGAAUAUUGGUCAAUGGGCGCGAGCCUGAACCAGCCAAGUCGCGUGAGGGAUGACGGUCCUACGGAUUGUAAACCUCUUUUGCCGGGGAGCAAGCGUGCGUUCGUGAACGCGCGUCGAGAGUACCCGGAGAAAAAGCAUCGGCUAACUCCGUGCCAGCAGCCGCGGUAAUACGGAGGGUGCGAGCGUUAUCCGGAUUUAUUGGGUUUAAAGGGUGCGUAGGCGGGAUGCCAAGUCAGCGGUAAAAAUGCGGUGCUCAACGCCGUCGAGCCGUUGAAACUGGCGUUCUUGAGUGGGCGAGAAGUAUGCGGAAUGCGUGGUGUAGCGGUGAAAUGCAUAGAUAUCACGCAGAACUCCGAUUGCGAAGGCAGCAUACCGGCGCCCUACUGACGCUGAGGCACGAAAGCGUGGGUAUCGAACAGGAUUAGAUACCCUGGUAGUCCACGCAGUAAACGAUGAAUGCUAACUGUCCGGCUCGAAUGAGCGCUGG
This 497-nucleotide ribosomal RNA is filed under the name uncultured bacterium. RNAcentral's name for it is "bacterial SSU rRNA". It matches the Rfam family "Bacterial small subunit ribosomal RNA", at positions 349 to 842 of the family's 1533-position model. The record is from RNAcentral.